CCGUCGCUCCUACCGAUUGAAUGGUCCGGUGAAGUUUUCGGAUCGCGGCGACGCCGGCGGUUCGCUGCCGGUGUUGUUGUGAGAAGUUCAUUAAACCUUAUCAUUUAGAGGAAGGAGAAGUCGUAACAAGGUUUCCGUAGGUGAACCUGCGGAAGGAUCAUUGAACACACGAUCUUGGAAAAACCCUGCGAACCGAUGCUUGUACCCCGAGGGAUCGUGCCCGGAGGCACGAUUGCCGGUGUUGGAGUCCGGAUUCAUGUGCACUCGCCGUGAUCCUCCCCGUUGGUGCGUGGCGGGAUUAAGUGACUCUGCUCUCACCGGCGGAUUGCCCGGACACGCGUGGCUCCGAGUCUCACCUGUGGGACUCGGAGUCAGGAUGGCAUCCCCUCCUCCGGCGGAGGGGGAGUUCCGGGGGAAGUCUUGCUGUCCGAUGCGGUACGGCAAGUUUCUCUCGGAGAGCUCUCUCUCCGCCGGGGCCCUUUGUUUCCCAAACAAGGAAAAACCGGUGAAACGAAUACGAUGAGACUGAAGAGGUUUCGGGAUUUGCCUCGGCGAUCCCGACUCCUCCAGAAAUUGAGUCAAACACCAAUGACUCUCAGCAACGGAUAUCUUGGCUCUUGUAACGAUGAAGAACGCAGCGAAAUGCGAUACCUAGUGUGAAUUGCAGAAUUCCGCGAAUCAUCGAGUUUUUGAACGCAAGUUGCGCCCGAGGCUCGUCCGAGGGCAUGCCUGCCUGAGCGUCCACUCUGACCCACCCACGAGCCUCUCUCCUCCACGGAGUGCAGAGUGGCUGGCGUGCGAGUGGAACUGGUCGUCCGGGAUCUUGCUCGUCUCGCAUCGGGACGGGUUCAAGUGUCGCGGUUGGCUGAAAGACACGAGCCGUCCGUCAAGCGCGCGCCGUGGGCGAUGGUGCGUCGCGACAAGGUGCCGUUCUCUCUCGGGCGUUUGAGCCCGGAGACGAACGUUGGUAACGAUAGCGUCGUGCCUCCCCGGCGGAGUCGGGACUUGGCGGAUCGGUGAAACAUGGGAGCGGUACGAUUGGAGUGCGUUCUUUCCCCCCACGGCUCUCUCGCUUGCGAGGAGACGUGGGGGGAUCGCACGAGAAUCCGACCGACACGUUGUUCGGACCUCAGAUCAGACAAGACUACCCGCUGAGUUUAAGCAUAUCACUAAGCGGAGGAAAAGAAACUAACAAGGAUUUCCCUAGUAACGGCGAGCGAACCGGAAGUAGCCCA
RNAcentral lists this ribosomal RNA (1235 nucleotides) under Lepidolejeunea delessertii. RNAcentral's name for it is "eukaryotic LSU rRNA". The stretch from base 591 to 743 matches the Rfam family "5.8S ribosomal RNA". The record is from RNAcentral. Lineage: Eukaryota; Viridiplantae; Streptophyta; Jungermanniopsida; Porellales; Lejeuneaceae.